CGCGGGGUGGAGCAGCUUGGUAGCUCGUCGGGCUCAUAACCCGAAGGUCGCUGGUUCAAAUCCGGCCCCCGCAACCA
RNAcentral lists this transfer RNA (77 nucleotides) under Vibrio cholerae. RNAcentral describes it as "tRNA-Met". It matches the Rfam family "tRNA". From Rfam's summary of the family: Transfer RNA (tRNA) molecules are approximately 80 nucleotides in length. Their secondary structure includes four short double-helical elements and three loops (D, anti-codon, and T loops). RNAcentral also lists the same sequence under 19 other names. Lineage: Bacteria; Pseudomonadati; Pseudomonadota; Gammaproteobacteria; Vibrionales; Vibrionaceae. The record is from RNAcentral.